ACAGCAGUCGCCGCGGGAAUACAGAGGGUGCAAGCGUUAAUCGGAAUUACUGGGCGUAAAGCGCGCGUAGGUGGUUUGUUAAGUUGGAUGUGAAAUCCCCGGGCUUAACCUGGGAACUGCAUCCAAAACUGGCAAGCUAGAGUAUGGUAGAGGGUGGUGGAAUUUCCUGUGUAGCGGUGAAAUGCGUAGAUAUAGGAAGGAACACCAGUGGCGAAGGCGACCACCUGGACUGAUACUGACACUGAGGUGCGAAAGCGUGGGGAGCAAACAGGAUUAGAUACCCCUGUAGUCCCUGUCUCUUAUAC
This 305-nucleotide ribosomal RNA is filed under the name uncultured bacterium. RNAcentral describes it as "partial 16S ribosomal RNA". It matches the Rfam family "Bacterial small subunit ribosomal RNA", at positions 508 to 807 of the family's 1533-position model. The record is from RNAcentral.